AAUAAGUGCAGUUUUGCACUAUUCAUGUUCAACGUUUGACCGUCCGUCUUAUUUGAAAAAUUUAUGAAAAAAUUAAAAACAUUUAGUCACACAUAAAGUACUAUUCAUGUUUUAUCAUCUAAUAGCAAUAAAAAUACUAAUCAUAAAAAAAUUUUAAAUAAGACGGACGGUCAAACGUUGAACGUGAAUAGUGCAAAACUGCACUUAUU
This 209-nucleotide microRNA precursor is filed under the name Oryza rufipogon (brownbeard rice). Its description in RNAcentral is "MIR812 microRNA precursor family". It matches the Rfam family "MIR812 microRNA precursor family". Lineage: Eukaryota; Viridiplantae; Streptophyta; Magnoliopsida; Poales; Poaceae. The record is from Rfam by way of RNAcentral.